This 448-nucleotide ribosomal RNA is filed under the name Methanoculleus sp. enrichment culture clone CIBANICRA-49. RNAcentral's name for it is "bacterial SSU rRNA". It matches the Rfam family "Archaeal small subunit ribosomal RNA", at positions 303 to 756 of the family's 1478-position model. The record is from RNAcentral. Lineage: Archaea; Methanobacteriati; Methanobacteriota; Methanomicrobia; Methanomicrobiales; Methanomicrobiaceae.
CUGAGAAACGAAUCAGGCCCUACGGGGCGCAGCAGGCGCGAAAACUUUACAAUGCGGGCAACCGUGAUAAGGGAACCUCGAGUGCCUGUAUAUGCAGGCUGUCCAGGUGUCUAAAACACACCUGAAGAAAGGGCCGGGCAAGACCGGUGCCAGCCGCCGCGGUAAUACCGGCGGCUCGAGUGGUGGCCGCUUUUAUUGGGCUUAAAGCGUUCGUAGCUGGGUCGUUAAGUCUCUUGGGAAAUCCGGCAGCUCAACUGUCGGGCGUCUAAGAGAUACUGGCGAUCUUGGAACCGGGAGAGGUGAGGGGUACUUCGGGGGUAGGAGUGAAAUCCUGUAAUCCUCGAGGGACCACCUGUGGCGAAGGCGCCUCACCAGAACGGCUUCGACAGUGAGGGACGAAAGCUGGGGGAGCAAACCGGAUUAGAUACCCGGGUAGUCCCAGCCGUAA